Cinara cedri is the source of this 291-nucleotide non-coding RNA. The record is from the annotation of a GenBank genome assembly. NCBI's taxonomy places the organism in Eukaryota, Metazoa, Arthropoda, Insecta, Hemiptera, Aphididae.
ACGCAAUAAACGUUUCGCCUUGGGUUUAACGGGUCGGUGUAUAAUGCGUAUGAAUAUACGGAAUAGGCGAACGCGUUUCGCCAAAUCGUUUUGGCCGUUUUUAGACAAACCAUUACUAUAUCGUCAAUUUCGUUGAUAUCCGUAAGUAUAGAUAAUAACGACAGUAAUCUUCUGUUUCGUUUAAAUUUAUUAACUCGGCUAAGGACGAGGUAAUUGACGGUGUCGCGGGCCGUGGCCGUGAAAACAAUACGUAUGCGUAUGAGUUACGAAUUGCGGUUUACGAACAAUUAU